RNAcentral lists this ribosomal RNA (473 nucleotides) under uncultured bacterium. RNAcentral describes it as "bacterial SSU rRNA". It matches the Rfam family "Bacterial small subunit ribosomal RNA", at positions 34 to 507 of the family's 1533-position model. The record is from RNAcentral.
CGCUGGCGGCGUGCCUAACACAUGCAAGUCGAACGGAGAGUUCAUUGAGGAGACUUCGGUCAACGAGAUGAAUUCUAGUGGCGGACGGGUGAGUAACGCGUGAGUAACCUGCCUUACAGAGGGGGAUAACGUUUGGAAACGAACGCUAAUACCGCAUAAUAUGUCGAGUGGGCAUCCACUUGACAUCAAAGGAGCAAUCCGCUGUAAGAUGGACUCGCGUCUGAUUAGAUAGUUGGUGAGGUAACGGCUCACCAAGUCGACGAUCAGUAGCCGGACUGAGAGGUUGAACGGCCACAUUGGGACUGAGACACGGCCCAGACUCCUACGGGAGGCAGCAGUGAGGGAUAUUGCACAAUGGGCGCAAGCCUGAUGCAGCAACGCCGCGUGAGGGAUGACGGUUUUCGGAUUGUAAACCUCUGUCUUUGGUGAUGAUAAUGACAUUAGCCAAGGAGGAAGCCACGGCUAACUACGUG